Non-coding RNA from Acanthosepion pharaonis, 113 nucleotides. The record is from the annotation of a GenBank genome assembly. Lineage: Eukaryota; Metazoa; Mollusca; Cephalopoda; Sepiida; Sepiidae.
UUACGGCUAUAUUGCGUUGAAAUACCGGUCCCCGUACGAUCAGCAAAGUUCAGCAACGCCGAGGCUGGUCAGUAUUUAGAUGGGUGACCGCUUGUAAAUAGCAGGUGCUGUGA